RNAcentral lists this unclassified non-coding RNA (378 nucleotides) under plant metagenome. RNAcentral describes it as "partial contains 5.8S ribosomal RNA, internal transcribed spacer 2, and large subunit ribosomal RNA". The stretch from base 1 to 105 matches the Rfam family "5.8S ribosomal RNA", at positions 50 to 154 of the family's 154-position model. The record is from RNAcentral.
GAAAUGCGAUAAGUAAUGUGAAUUGCAGAAUUCAGUGAAUCAUCGAAUCUUUGAACGCACCUUGCGCUCCUUGGUAUUCCUUGGAGCAUGCCUGUUUGAGUAUCAUGAAAUCUUCAAAGUACACCUUUUGUUAACUCAAUUGGUUUCUACUUUGGUAUUGGAGGUCUUUGCAGCUUCACACCUGCUCCUCUUUGUUCAUUAGCUGGAUCUCAGUGUUAUGCUUGGUUCCACUCGGCGUGAUAAGUUAUCUAUCGCUGAGGACACUGUAAAAGGUGGCCAAGGUAAAUGCAGAUGAACCGCUUCUAAUAGUCCAUUGACUUGGACAAUACUUUUAUGAUCUGAUCUCAAAUCAGGUAGGACUACCCGCUGAACUUAAGC